UCCUAGUUAACCUAGGCAGUCUCACUAGAGUUCCCAACCGAAUUGCUGGCAACUAGUGAUAAGGGUUGCGCUCGUUGCGGGACUUAACCCAACACCUCACGGCACGAGCUGACGACAGCCAUGCAGCACCUAUGUAAUGACCCUUGCGGGAGGCUCCCUUUCAGGAGUUGUCCACUACACUUCGAGCCUGGGUAAGGUUCUACGCGUUGCAUCGAAUUAAACCACAUGCUCCACUGCUUGUGCGGGCCCCCGUCAAUUCUUUUGAGUUUCACCCUUGCGAGCGUACUCCUCAGGCGGUAUACUUAUCGCGUUAGCUACGACACAGUCGGGGUUGAGUCCAACUACAUCAAGUAUACAUCGUUUACGGCAAGGACUAC
RNAcentral lists this unclassified non-coding RNA (377 nucleotides) under uncultured Simkaniaceae bacterium. RNAcentral describes it as "contains 16S-23S intergenic spacer region". Lineage: Bacteria; Pseudomonadati; Chlamydiota; Chlamydiia; Parachlamydiales; Simkaniaceae. The record is from RNAcentral.